Saccostrea cuccullata (small rock oyster) is the source of this 361-nucleotide long non-coding RNA. RefSeq lists it as uncharacterized. The transcript has 3 exons. The record is from RefSeq and is a predicted model, not a curated record. Lineage: Eukaryota; Metazoa; Mollusca; Bivalvia; Ostreida; Ostreidae.
AGUAAUUUUCUCACUGCACCGUAAAACGAAUGUUUGAGGAUGCUGGGAAAUGUUCAUUCGGAACGCAGCGGAAUUUAAACUGGUCCCCAUAUGAUACCAAUUUAUUGCGGGCAAUGGCUGCUCCGAGAAUAUGUGGUUUUCGGGUUUUCACCACAAGAGCAAAUUAUACAACUUUAUUCUUGAAAAUGUUGGAGACUGAGACUUGGAGUCAAAGUCAACAGACACGCUUGCAUGGACAUGAAGGAUGUAAAGAACUAGGAGUAUUAUAACUGAAAGCAUUUUGUCUGGAUUUGUGUAUGGAAACAGAAGGAUUUAGUAUUGGUAUCCUGAAUUUUUGUCAACUUCUAGCCAAGAUCCUGUA